Molecule: ribosomal RNA, 253 nt
Filed under: uncultured bacterium
Lineage: Bacteria
Description: partial 16S ribosomal RNA
Rfam family: Bacterial small subunit ribosomal RNA
Source: RNAcentral
UACGGGGGGGGCAAGCGUUGUUCGGAAUUACUGGGCGUAAAGGGUUUGUAGGUGGCUUGUUAAGUCAGACGUGAAAUCCCUCAGCUUAACUGGGGAACUGCGUCUGAGACUGGUGAGCUUGAGUUCGGGAGAGGUGAGUGGAACUGCGAGUGUAGAGGUGAAAUUCGUAGAUAUUCGCAAGAACACCAGUGGCGAAGGCGGCUCACUGGCCCGAUACUGACGCUGAGGCACGAAAGCGUGGGGAGCAAACAGG